CAGCCGCCGCGGUAAUACGUAGGGUGCGAGCGUUAAUCGGAUUUACUGGGCGUAAAGCGUGCGCAGGCGGCCCGUUAAGACAGGUGUGAAAUCCCUGGGCUCAACCUAGGAAUUGCGCUUGUGACUGGCGGGCUCGAGUACGGUAGAGGGGGGUGGAAUUCCUGGUGUAGCAGUGAAAUGCGUAGAGAUCAGGAGGAACACCGAUGGCGAAGGCAGCCCCCUGGGCCUGUACUGACGCUCAUGCACGAAAGCGUGGGGAGCAAACAGGAUUAGAUACCCUGGUAGUCCACGCCCUAAACGAUGGGUACUAGCCGUUUGGUGCGCGAUAGCGCUGAGUGGCGAAGCUAACGCGUGAAGUACCCCGCCUGGGGAGUAAGGCCGCAAGGUUGAAACUUAAGGAAUUGGCGGG
RNAcentral lists this ribosomal RNA (409 nucleotides) under uncultured microorganism. Its description in RNAcentral is "bacterial SSU rRNA". It matches the Rfam family "Bacterial small subunit ribosomal RNA", at positions 509 to 917 of the family's 1533-position model. The record is from RNAcentral.